This 161-nucleotide ribosomal RNA is filed under the name Xanthomonas citri pv. citri. RNAcentral describes it as "partial 16S ribosomal RNA". It matches the Rfam family "Bacterial small subunit ribosomal RNA", at positions 1 to 157 of the family's 1533-position model. The record is from RNAcentral. Lineage: Bacteria; Pseudomonadati; Pseudomonadota; Gammaproteobacteria; Lysobacterales; Lysobacteraceae.
UUUAUCGGAGAGUUUGAUCCUGGCUCAGGACGAACGCUGGCGGCGUGCCUAAUACAUGCAAGUCGAGCGGACAGAUGGGAGCUUGCUCCCUGAUGUUAGCGGCGGACGGGUGAGUAACACGUGGGUAACCUGCCUGUAAGACUGGGAUAACUCCGGGAAAC